This 77-nucleotide transfer RNA is filed under the name Planctomycetota bacterium. RNAcentral describes it as "Planctomycetes bacterium tRNA-Val". It matches the Rfam family "tRNA". From Rfam's summary of the family: Transfer RNA (tRNA) molecules are approximately 80 nucleotides in length. The record is from RNAcentral. Lineage: Bacteria; Pseudomonadati; Planctomycetota.
GGGCGUUUAGCUCAGCUGGCUAGAGCACCAGCUCGACAAGCUGGGGGUCGCAGGUUCAAGUCCCGCAACGCCCACCA